CGCAAGCCUGACGGAGCAAGACCGCGUGCGGGAUGACGGCCUAAUGGUUGUAAACCGCUUUUCUCUGGGAAGAUGAUGACGGUACCAGAGGAAUCGGCCUCGGCUAACUCCGUGCCAGCAGCCGCGGUAAUACGGAGGAGGCAAGCGUUAUCCGGAAUUAUUGGGCGUAAAGCGUCCGUAGGUGGUUAUUCAAGUCUGCUGUCAAAGCGUGGGGCUUAACUCCAUAGAGGCAGUGGAAACUGGAUGACUUGAGUGCGGUAGGGGUCGAGGGAAUUCCCAGUGUAGCGGUGAAAUGCGUAGAUAUUGGGAAGAACACCAGUGGCGAAAGCGCUCGACUGGGCCUGCACUGACACUGAGGGACGAAAGCUAGGGGAGCG
Molecule: ribosomal RNA, 377 nt
Filed under: uncultured cyanobacterium
Lineage: Bacteria; Bacillati; Cyanobacteriota
Description: bacterial SSU rRNA
Rfam family: Bacterial small subunit ribosomal RNA
Source: RNAcentral